UUGCCCGCUCACUUCACGUGCACCGGUAAAAGUUCCGCUAAUUGGAGCCUACACCCUCUCCCCCUACACCCCCUCCUCUCUCGCCGUCAUAGAUACAAGCCCCCCUUCCACCCAUCCACAUCAUACAUACACACUGACACGCACGCGCGCACACGCUACUUCCACGUGCGUGACCAACACAUCCCCCGAGGCCCCGCCACCACCACUUCGCACUCACACACAUACACACACAUAUACAUAUUACGUAGCGAGAGAAAAGCAGACGCGCACCCCCUCCUCCCGUGUACAUUGGCCUCCACACCGCAGGCGCUCUAGAGCAAGGGGCUCUCGACCGCGUAUCGGGUGCUGCAUGCUCCGCACAAAGGGCGAAGGUAUGGAAGCACACGCAGUGUAGCGGCUACCCGUGCAGACAGACACGACCCACCACAUAAUAAUGUUUCGUCGUGGCUUUCCGCUGCUCUCGACGCUGCCACCAGACACAAGUAAGCUCUUUGGCGCUAGCCGUCGUCGUACACCGCAGCAGCAGCGCGUCUACAACCAACUGAAAACGACAUCUAUUCAGGCUGCGUUCCCUCACAUCGCCGCCUGCUGGGUGGGGCCGUGCUGGGGCACCGUUAUGCAGACGCCGAGCAAUGUAUCACCCGUGUGCAUGAAGAUGGCGGUGUGGCGCUGCUCUCACUGCUUGCAGGAGUUCGAGAUGGUAGUGGGGCACUUUAUUGAUGGAGGCGGCGUGUGCCCGCAUUGCCAUAUUCCGCAGAAGAAGCUGGACAACGUGACGGUGCGCAACGCGCAAGGGGAACUGGUGACCAAGAAGCCCCAAUACGUGAAGGCGCCGCGCAUGAUUCACUCGAACUACCGUAGCGUGCUCUUCGCCAAUCCCCACUGGGAGUCGCUGAACAUUCAGCCCAUGCUUGCGCAGCGCUGGGAGCUUGUGGCGGACGAGCUCAUGAAGAGCAGCAACGGCGAGAGCGGCACCGCUUCCGACAAGCAUCUGCUCCUCGCCUCCCCCAAGAUCGAUGGCAUCCGCUGCAUGAUUGGGUACAACGAGAAGCUUCGCGAGGUACAGUUCUUCUCUCGUGGCGGCAUCGUCCUCGAGUGCUGCCACGGCCUCGUCCCGCAGCUGCUGCCGCUCUUUGAGAAGGACCCGACGCUCAUGCUAGACGGCGAGCUCUUUGCGCCCGAGUGCAACUUCGAGCAGCUCAACGGGCUUGUACGUCGACUCAACAAGAAGUCCGACCCAAAAAUUAUGGAGGCGCAGGCGCGCCUGCUAGAGUACUUCGCGUUCGACAUCAUGUACAGUGCGCAGCUCUCGUCCGUAUCGGCUCCUUUCGACGAGCGCUACAUGCUGCUCAAGAAGCUCAUCCCCGUGUGCGGCGCGAAGCGGAUUAGCAACUACGUUCACGACGACACGCGGAAGAAGGUGAUCCGCGCUACGCACGGCGGUGUGGCGACAGCGGCAGCGGCAAACGGUCAGGCCGUGAAGAUCUACCAUGUACCUGCCGCGCAGGUGCACCCGAGCGACAUGGAGGACGUGCUGAACGAGGCGUGCUCGCAGGGGUUCGAGGGCGUCAUGAUCCGCCUUCCCAAGUUCCCCUACGAGCACGGCAAGCGCAGCUUCGGGCUGCUCAAGUACAAGCAGAUGCACGACGCUGAGUUUAAGAUUGUCGGCUUCGUGCCCGGUGAAGGCAAGUUCAAGAGCGCUCUUGGCGCCUUCGUCUGCACAACCAAGGACGGCAAACACUUCAACACGCCACCCAAGGUCUCCUGCAAGCACCGCAUCGAGCUGUGGGAGCACCGUAGGGAGUAUCUAGGCAAGUACCUGACGGUGCAGUAUCAAGAGCUCUCCUCGCAGAACGUGCCGCGCUUCCCUAUCGCCAAGGCCAUUCGCGGUAGUGAGGAUAAGCGAGAUUGGCUGUGAAGAGAAAACAGCUCAGAGAGAGAGACAUGCACGCGGGGGUGCUCCAUGCAAAACGAAGAAGCACGAGGCACCACCUACGAGAUGCUUGGAGAGAUGGACUGAAGGCAGCCCUCUGCAUUCGUGGGCAGGCGCCCUGUUCUCCGCCCUCCACCACAGUGGCCACCGCCACCUCUCCCGCCAUGGCGUGCUCGCGUUUGGUGGUGAUGCGGGUCCGUUUUUUUUUUGUGUGUGUGUGUGUUUUUCUUCGGAGGGGCGGGUGGCUGCCGUGCGCAUGCACGGGCAUCCUCCGUUUUCAUAGAACCUCAAUAGUAGCAGCCCCUCGAACAUACGCGCACCCUCCCUCCCCCACCCCAAUCCACCCCGCCCGACUCUCUCUCCCUUUUUCGCCGUCACUACUGUUCGCUGUGGCUCCGUGCUCAUGUUGCGCAUGUGCGUGCGCGCCACACUCCCUUUCGACUGCGGCGCCGCGACCGCAGCCGUAACGAAGAAUCAAAGCGAGGCGAGUGAUGAGCACUCUGCAGAGAGCACGCAACCGUGAAGGUGAGAGGGCGCGCAUGGGGCUCUGGCGAGGUCAGCUGCCCCCACGGCGAGCACGUGCGCCUCGCGUUGUCUUUGCUUCUUCUGCGUAUC
RNAcentral lists this unclassified non-coding RNA (2548 nucleotides) under Leishmania donovani. RNAcentral describes it as "gene:LdHU3.26.1640(CDS-product:mitochondrial_DNA_ ligase_homolog_putative)". The record is from RNAcentral. Lineage: Eukaryota; Euglenozoa; Kinetoplastea; Trypanosomatida; Trypanosomatidae.